CAGUCCUUUAAGUUUAGUCCCGUGAGGCUAAGAAGGGUGUGAGUAAGAAUUCCUGUGGUGCGCCAUAGCGAGACUUGCUCAAUGACGUCGCAUACACAAAGCGACCGGUGUGGUAGUAUACACUCAGUCUAAACAUUCCUCCUGUCCUCUUAGGGCAGGAGUUUUUUUGU
Non-coding RNA from Enterococcus mundtii, 170 nucleotides. The record is from Rfam. Lineage: Bacteria; Bacillati; Bacillota; Bacilli; Lactobacillales; Enterococcaceae.